UUCAUCAGUUGAGACAAGAAUUGAAGAGAUCGUCUCAUCCGGCUACUUUGAUCAGUAUGGCAGCAUGUUCUAUCCGGAUGUGGGAGUUCAGCCUUAGUUCCUCUACCUUUUCAGCCACACCCAGCAAGAGGAUUCGAUGCAUUUGUUUAAGAUCUUGGUCCAAGUGUUCAUGGAGGUGCUUAUCCUUUUUAUCCAAGAUCCACCUUUGGGCCAUUUACAAGAGCUCCAUCCUCAGC
This 236-nucleotide long non-coding RNA is filed under the name Setaria italica (foxtail millet). RNAcentral describes it as "long non-coding RNA (SITA_LNC001342)". The record is from RNAcentral. Lineage: Eukaryota; Viridiplantae; Streptophyta; Magnoliopsida; Poales; Poaceae.